CAUCAAAAACCAAGUCUCUAAGCAAUGGAUGUCUUGGCUCCUCACACGAUGAAGAACGUGGCAUAAUGUGUUAAGUAACCGGAGUUGCAAACAUCAUGACAGGUUAAUCUUUGAAUGCAAAUUGCGCUAAACUCGAUCUCGGUCGAGAAGCAUGGGUGUGACAGUACUACAUCUUUUAUAAUAAUUCUUAUUCUAAGCGAAUAAGUAAAUAAUAUAUAAGACAAACAACACGUAGUCUGCCAUACGCAGGAAGACCCGCUGAACUGAAGCAUCUCAUUAAGCGGAGGAAAAGAAACUAACUAGGAUUCCCUUAGUAAAGGCGAUCGAAAAGGGAACAGCCCAACGUCUUAAUCCCGCAAGGGAAAUGUAGUCGGUUCACCUAUUGCACUGGUCUAA
This 396-nucleotide non-coding RNA is filed under the name Trichomonas vaginalis G3. Its description in RNAcentral is "Archaeal large subunit ribosomal RNA". It matches the Rfam family "Archaeal large subunit ribosomal RNA", at positions 1 to 316 of the family's 2987-position model. Lineage: Eukaryota; Parabasalia; Trichomonadida; Trichomonadidae. The record is from Rfam by way of RNAcentral.